This 253-nucleotide ribosomal RNA is filed under the name uncultured bacterium. Its description in RNAcentral is "partial 16S ribosomal RNA". It matches the Rfam family "Bacterial small subunit ribosomal RNA", at positions 524 to 776 of the family's 1533-position model. The record is from RNAcentral.
UACGAAGGGUGCAAGCGUUACUCGGAAUUACUGGGCGUAAAGCGUGCGUAGGUGGUUGUUUAAGUCUGUUGUGAAAGCCCUGGGCUCAACCUGGGAAUUGCAGUGGAUACUGGGCAACUAGAGUGUGGUAGAGGGUAGUGGAAUUCCCGGUGUAGCAGUGAAAUGCGUAGAGAUCGGGAGGAACAUCCAUGGCGAAGGCAGCUACCUGGACCAACACUGACACUGAGGCACGAAAGCGUGGGGAGCGAACAGG